GACAGAGGGGGCAAGCGUUGCUCGGAAUUAUUGGGCGUAAAGAGCUUGUAGGCGGUUUGUCGCGUCUGCUGUGAAAUCUCAAGGCUCAACCUUGAGCUUGCAGUCGAUACGGGCAGGCUAGAGUGUGGUAGGGGAGAUCGGAAUUCCUGGUGUAGCGGUGAAAUGCGCAGAUAUCAGGAGGAACACCGGUGGCGAAGGCGGGUCUCUGGGCAGUAACUGACGCUGAGGAGCGAAAGCGUGGGGAGCGAACAGG
RNAcentral lists this ribosomal RNA (253 nucleotides) under uncultured bacterium. RNAcentral's name for it is "partial 16S ribosomal RNA". It matches the Rfam family "Bacterial small subunit ribosomal RNA", at positions 524 to 776 of the family's 1533-position model. The record is from RNAcentral.